UCUCACUUCUCAUUCCAUUGUCCCCUAUGAAAACGUUUUCUCACUUUUUCUCUCGACUCAAAGCUGGGAGAACUUGAAGCUCACCCUCGUCGUCGCCAUCACCUCUUGAAGUCGGAAUCCAUGAAAUCCAAUUGCACCCUCCCGUUUCUCCUCCUCCGUCUUUGUCGCUUUUAGAGCCUCCAUUCUUUCCAACAGCGGCCUUUAUCAUCUACACUGUUACAAUCAAUGACAUCUAAUGCUUCGACUACAUUUGUUGGAUCAACCGCCCCUCGUGCAUAUAAACGUAAUUCAGAUGAUGUUGGUUGGGAAUAUGGUGUUAUCCCGGAUAAAAACAACAUGGAUUAAGAUUUCGAGUCCGAGAGUGAGGAGCAAGUGUUAGAAGAAGACGAAUAUGAGUCGGAUGGGGUUCAAAUAAUGGAAGUAUGUGGAGAAGAUUAGAAGAAAAUUCUUGUGCUUGUAAAACUUAUUAUUAAACUUUUAUGGACUUGUUGGAUGGUGAUUUUGUAUGAUUGUUAAACUUAUUAUUAAACUUUUGGGCUUAUUUUGGAUGAUAAA
Non-coding RNA from Lactuca sativa (garden lettuce), 555 nucleotides. The record is from RefSeq and is a predicted model, not a curated record. Lineage: Eukaryota; Viridiplantae; Streptophyta; Magnoliopsida; Asterales; Asteraceae.